RNAcentral lists this ribosomal RNA (301 nucleotides) under uncultured bacterium. Its description in RNAcentral is "partial 16S ribosomal RNA". It matches the Rfam family "Bacterial small subunit ribosomal RNA", at positions 509 to 808 of the family's 1533-position model. The record is from RNAcentral.
CAGUAGCCGCGGUAAUACGUAGGGUGCAAGCGUUAAUCGGAAUGACUGGGCGUAAAGGGCACGUAGGCGGUGAAAAGGGUGGAAAGUGAAAGUCGCCAAAACACUGGCGGGGUGCUUUCUUGACCAUUUCACUUGAGUGAGAUAGGGGAGAGUGGAAUUUCGUGUGGAGGGAUCAAAUCCUAAGAUAUACGAAGGAACGCCAACCGCGAAGGCAGCUCUCUGGGUCCCCACUGACGCUGAGGUACGAAAGCAUGGGGAGCAAACAGGAUUAGAUACCCCAGUAGUCCCUGUCUCUUAUACA